This 280-nucleotide ribosomal RNA is filed under the name Staphylococcus aureus. Its description in RNAcentral is "partial 23S ribosomal RNA". It matches the Rfam family "Bacterial large subunit ribosomal RNA", at positions 1669 to 1949 of the family's 2925-position model. The record is from RNAcentral. Lineage: Bacteria; Bacillati; Bacillota; Bacilli; Caryophanales; Staphylococcaceae.
UGAUGAGAAUUCUAAGGUGUGCUAGCGAACUCUCGUUAAGGAACUCGGAAAAAUGACCCCGUAACUUCGGGAGAAGGGGUGCUCUUUAGGGUUAACGCCCAUAAGAGCCGCAGUGAAUAGGCCCAAGCGACUGUUUAUCAAAAACACAGGUCUCUGCUAAACCGUAUGGUGAUGUAUAGGGGCUGACGCCUGCCCGGUGCUGGAAGGUUAAGAGGUGUGGUUAGCUUCUGCGAAGCUACGAAUCGAAGCCCCAGUAAACGGCGGCCGUAACUAUAACGGU